AUUGAACGCUGGCGGCAGGCCUAACACAUGCAAGUCGAACGGUAACAGGAAGCAGCUUGCUGCUUUGCUGGCGAGUGGCGGACGGGUGAGUAAUGUCUGGGAAACUGCCUGAUGGAGGGGGAUAACUACUGGAAACGGUAGCUAAUACCGCAUAACGUCGCAAGACCAAAGAGGGGGACCUUAGGGCCUCUUGCCAUCGGAUGUGCCCAGAUGGGAUUAGCUAGUAGGUGGGGUAACGGCUCACCUAGGCGACGAUCCCUAGCUGGUCUGAGAGGAUGACCAGCCACACUGGAACUGAGACACGGUCCAGACUCCUACGGGAGGCAGCAGUGGGGAAUAUUGCACAAUGGGCGCAAGCCUGAU
RNAcentral lists this ribosomal RNA (363 nucleotides) under uncultured Escherichia sp. RNAcentral's name for it is "bacterial SSU rRNA". It matches the Rfam family "Bacterial small subunit ribosomal RNA", at positions 30 to 387 of the family's 1533-position model. Lineage: Bacteria; Pseudomonadati; Pseudomonadota; Gammaproteobacteria; Enterobacterales; Enterobacteriaceae. The record is from RNAcentral.